RNAcentral lists this long non-coding RNA (2087 nucleotides) under Zea mays. RNAcentral describes it as "long non-coding RNA (ZMAY_LNC001707)". Lineage: Eukaryota; Viridiplantae; Streptophyta; Magnoliopsida; Poales; Poaceae. The record is from RNAcentral.
AGUAGGGUCGAAGCACCGGUUCCGUCGCCGCCAAGGUGGCGCGCACCGAUCCCUCACGACCUACCAAAAUACAGCAAGGUCAUGACCAUGAGUUCAUCACAGAGAAGAGCAGAGCAGAUCAGGCACAGCCACAUUAAGCAAUGACAGGAGGUACCGGACGCAAUAAUCAAAUAACAACAAGCAUGUUCCAAGAAAUAAAUACCCAGAUCAGGAGCAUAUGGUCCAUGAAGAGCUAGAUCGAGACAUCUCACCUCAGUUAGUUAGGGUUAGGGACUUAGGGUUUACGACAUGUUACCUGGGCCGGUCAGAUACUCAGAUCCAGGUCGAUGUAGAGACAGGGAGGAUAGGAUUAGCCGGAGAACGAGCACCAGAACUCCAGAAGACCGAAGACGAGAGGUGGAGCACGGAGCACCAGACGAGCGGUGGAGCGCCAGACGAGCGGUGGUCGGUGGAGCGUAGACGAGCGGUGGUCGGUGGAGCGCCGCCGCGCCGGUGCGGUGGAGGCUUGGACCUUGGAGCGACCGAAGACGGAGGGCCGGUGCGCCGCCAGUUCGCGAGAGGAGACUGGAGAGGGGAGGAGGAGAGGAGAGCUGGAAAGCCGCCGCGCGAGUGAAAGUGAAUGGACGCUAGGGUUUUCCGUUUCGGGCGAUAGGGAUUAGGGGCUGGCGGCUGGCUUAUGGGCUGGCUGGCAGCUGGCUUCUGCUCACGCGUAGACGGGCCGAUUUCAAAGCCUGAUUCCGUCGUGCCGUGCCCGGGCCAGCCCAACGGGCCGAAACCGCUGCCGAGCACGGCACGCGCUUCAUGCCGGGCUGGGCCCGGGCCCGUUUCCACUCGGGCCGGGCCGUGCCAGUCCCGGGCCGAAUUAACGGGCUCCAUGCCGGGCUUUCGGGCCGUGGGCUUUCUGGCCAUCUAUAGCAGCGAGCCAGCGAGGUUUCCAGCAGUACGGCAUGACGAUCCAACGGAACGCUUGGAGGCCGCAGAGAGGGCUCCCUGAAAGCUCUGUCACCGUUCUUCGUGCUUGGCUCUUCGAGCAUUUCCUCCACCCGUAAUGCAGCAGCAGAUUCCUUCCCUUCCCUUCCCUUUCCUUCCUUGUGCUAGCUCUUGUUUCUUCUCCGUUCCUUCGUUCGUCACCAUGCGUGCGUUGCGUUCCUUGUUGCAUUGCAGGUACCCUAAAGACUCUGAAAAGUUGAUGCUAGCGAGGCAAACAGGCUUGACAAGGAGUCAAGUAUGCAGGAGAAUGCUGAAUGCGCCUCAAACAGCUUGAUGCAUCUAUUGUUUUGACUCUAGCUACUACAUACUCCUCCAUCUCCAGAUCUCGAACUGGUUCAUCGUCAAUGCCCGCGUCCGCCUCUGGAAACCCAUGAUCGAGGACAUGUGUACAAGGAAGAGAUUGGAGACGCCACGGCGGAGCAAGACUCCAAUUCCUCCUCCGACAAGGCGCCACUAAGUGAAGACAAGGAGGGCCUGGAGAGAAGGUGUACGCCGAGGGUCUGCGAGAGCAGCUAGCGGCCCGCUGAGCGAGCCAAGAGCCAGCAGCACGAGGACCAUGAACGCCGGCGGUGGGUUACCCAGCACGGGACUGUUCCAGAACGAGCCCAACCCUGACGACUGCAGCUUCAUGAACCUGAUGCUCAAGGACCAAGACGAGAGCAACGCCCGGUUCAUGGCAUACCACCACCUGCUGGCAGAGCUUGGGAGGUACGGGAACGGCAAUGUGUCGCUCACCCUGGGGCUUGGGGCUGCAGUACCACUCCAGCGGCAGCCUCUCGAUUCCCAACGCCCAGCAGGGCUUUCCCGGUGUCGGUGUCGGAGACGAUGACAUCUACAACGCCACCACUCCUCUCGGUGUCAGCGUGGCGUCUUCGGAGUUCGGACUACGAAUCCAUGAACCAGAUGGAUCAACGGCAACGUUUCCAGCAGUCGCCCCCUUGUGCUGUUGUGCAUGAUUUUGUGGCCUGGAUGCUCAUCCCUCUGAAUGCCUAUUGGGUUAGUUUCGAUUGGAUACAGAUUAUUGGAGCUAUAGCCGGAAAUGUAAUAUGUAGUGUAGGGCGAUAGGGUAAAAAGAGGAGAACGUAUUGAAUAUAAAC